AUCCAGCUGACGAGUCCUGAAUAGAACGAAAUGCUCGUCCUGGAU
RNAcentral lists this non-coding RNA (45 nucleotides) under Schistosoma mattheei. The record is from RNAcentral. Lineage: Eukaryota; Metazoa; Platyhelminthes; Trematoda; Strigeidida; Schistosomatidae.